CAUUGAAACACCAGUUUUUGUAUGGUCUCCAAAGUUAAGCAACAUUGAGCCUGGUCAGUACCUAGAUGGGUGACUGCUUAGGAAUACCAGGUAAUGUAA
Molecule: non-coding RNA, 99 nt
Organism: Acanthosepion pharaonis
Lineage: Eukaryota; Metazoa; Mollusca; Cephalopoda; Sepiida; Sepiidae
Source: the annotation of a GenBank genome assembly